Molecule: long non-coding RNA, 1143 nt
Filed under: Homo sapiens (human)
Lineage: Eukaryota; Metazoa; Chordata; Mammalia; Primates; Hominidae
Description: HSALNT0031114
Source: RNAcentral
CUAGAAUGGUCAAAUUCAUAGAGAUCAACAGUGGCAUGGUGGUUGUCAGGGGCUGAAGGAGGUGAGAACGGGCUUCUCCUCCAACUGGAUGGCUCCAGUUCUAUACAUGAAACCCUGACCUUUAGAAGCACCACUGACGGCUACUUCAACUUAUACCUCCGUGUUUCCAGUCCAUGAUGAAUUUUUGGGAAAGAGAGCUCUUUUCUCACAGUUGAAAACACUGGCAGCCUGCAGAUGUGGAAGUCUCAGCUGGGAAACAUGAAAUCUUUCGAUAUCCCAAAAGCACACACCUUGGAAGAUAAACUUUACCCAUGACUAACUAAAGUCAUUCUUAAGAGAAAAUUAUGGAGAGGAUUAACAUGCUUCAUCCCUUUCUCUCAGCUUCCUGAUUAGGACCUUCUAGAGUUACAUAAAUCACUUCUUGCUCUAGCCAGCCUGACUCCAAGCAUCAACACACCAUUGUUGCCUGGGCAUUUUUUCAGCCUAGCCAAUAAAAACUCCCAAGUCAUCCUGGAACUUUUGGAGAUGACUGAGAUGCAAGAAAAAAAACACGGUAGACUUUAACAAACUGUACAACUGGGGACAACCAGCGGGAAGGUUUUGGAAGGCUGGGGGUAAAGAGGUGGCCUGACCAUAAUUAAGGGCAAGUCCUGCCAGCAAACCCGUGCCCAUUUUAAGAGAGGGAUGGCGGUUUUCCCAGGCGGAAGCUGGGUGCCAGGGCUCAUUCCAUAGACAAAUGCUGUCCUCUCUCCCCUCCUUAAAAUGAACAUUGUCAGGAACAGGAAGGGCACAGGCGUGGUUCUGGAAAGAUCUCAGUUCCAGUCCCAGCUCAUCGUUUGUGCCUAUUUCCUCAUCUGUCAAAGAAAGAUAUCCCAGGACCCUGCCUGUCGCAAAAGCACCAUGAAGAUAAAGUAAGAUCAUGGACAAAGGACUUUGUAAAGCAAUUUAAAAGUUGUAUGUGUGCUACAUGCCAGGCACUGUGCUAAAGGCCAUACAUGUUUUAACUAAAUUCUUGCGGCAGUCUUCUAAGGGAAGUAUUAUUUCCACUGCGCAAAGGAGAACACCAGGAUUCACUGGCAUUGUUAAUAUUUGCUGGAAGUUUAAAAAACCAAAUAAAUGUCUGAAAAGUAAAUGUUCAAAAUG